RNAcentral lists this ribosomal RNA (169 nucleotides) under uncultured Beijerinckiaceae bacterium. RNAcentral's name for it is "partial 16S ribosomal RNA". It matches the Rfam family "Bacterial small subunit ribosomal RNA", at positions 338 to 524 of the family's 1533-position model. Lineage: Bacteria; Pseudomonadati; Pseudomonadota; Alphaproteobacteria; Hyphomicrobiales; Beijerinckiaceae. The record is from RNAcentral.
CCUACGGGAGGCAGCAGUGGGGAAUAUUGGACAAUGGGCGCAAGCCUGAUCCAGCCAUGCCGCGUGAGUGAUGAAGGCCUUAGGGUUGUAAAGCUCUUUUACCCGGGAAGAUAAUGACGGUACCGGGAGAAUAAGCCCCGGCUAACUUCGUGCCAGCAGCCGCGGUGAU